UGAUCUCCAAUGUGUGUCCCUUAGACAAACUAUCCUUUUGUCCCACAUGAGAGUGAGUGAUGAUGAGUGACAGGAUGUUAGUCCUGGGCCGAUGGGAGGACAGUGUGCUGGAGUAGAGGACUGAAGUUUCACACACAUGAACAGCACAACCAGGUCAGUAGAGGACUGGAGCUUCACACACAUGAACAGCACAACGAGGUCAGUAGAGGACUGGAGCUUCACACACAUGAACAGCACAACCAGGUCAGUAGAGGACUGGAGCUUCACACACAUGAACAGCACAACCAGGUCAGUAGAGGACUGGAGCUUCACACACAUGAACAGCACAACCAGGUCAGUAGAGGACUGGAGCUUCACACACAUGAACAGCACAACCAGGUCAGUAGAAGACUGGAGCUUCACACACAUGAACAGCACAACCAGGUCAGUAGAGGACUGGAGCUUCACACACAUGAACAGCACAACCAGGUCAGUAGAGGACUGGAGCUUCACACACAUGAACAGCACAACCAGGUCAGUAGAGGACUGGAGCUUCACACACAUGAACAGCACAACCAGGUCAGUAGAGGACUGGAGCUUCACACACAUGAACAGCACAACCAGGUCAGUAGAGGACUGGAGCUUCACACACAUGAACAGCACAACCAGGUCAGUAGAAGACUGGAGCUUCACACACAUGAACAGCACAACCAGGUCAGUAGAGGACUGGAGCUUCACACACAUGAACAGCACAACCAGGUCAGUAGAGGACUGGAGCUUCACACACAUGAACAGCACAACCAGGUCAGUAGAGGACUGUGUAUUUCCUGGCGUAGUUUUAUGAUUCCUUUAUAGAAUCAUUCAUAAUGAUGUCAUUUAGGAAUCAGGGAAAGGACCAUCUGUAGUAUAUCUAGGCUGUGUGAGGACAUAUUAUGACCUGAUUGUCAGACUAGAGUAUUAUUAUGAGCCUGAAAUCCAGAGCCUGUUUUGUGACUACAUUCCACUCCUUGUACUCUGUGAGGAAUGAUGGCUAAACAGACUGGUACCCAAGCUGUUAUGAGGCCGUGGCUCUAAAAUGACUAUUUUCAACUUGUCAGGUAAAACACGCAGUUGUUCCUCCUCUGUUGUAUUGUUUGAGUGGAGAUGGAUGGCACCUUGAGGCGCACAGUGUCCCCGGUGCGCAGGCAUAGCCCGGUGCGUUAAAGCGCAGCGCCUCGUAUCGGCCGGGCUAGGUUGGGCAUCGAGCCAGAUGCCACAAAGCCGGCUCAGCGCAUCUGGUCUCCAGUGCGUCUCCUCUGGCCGGGGUACAUGGGGACCAGCCUUUCGCAUUGGGGGUCCCCGGUUUGCCAGCACAGCCCAGUGCGGGCUAUUCCACCUCGCCACACUGGCCUGGCUACGGGGAGCAAUCAACCAGGUAAGGUUGGGCUGGCUCGGUGCUCAAGAGCUCCAGUAUACCUUCAGGUCCGGUCUAUCCGGUGCCACCUCCACGCACCAGCCCUCCGGUGGCAGCCCCCAACACCAGGCUGUCUCUCCGUCUCCUUCCUACAGAUGCUCCCGCCUGUCCAGUGCUGCCAGAGUCUUCCUCCUGCCCAGCACUGUCAGAGUCUCCCGUCUGUCCUGAGCUGCCGGGGUCUCCCGUCUGUCCUGAGCUGCCGGAGUCUCCCGUCUGUCCUGAGCUGCCGGGGUCUCCCGUCUGUCCUGAGCUGCCGGAGUCUCCCGUCUGUCCUGAGCUGCCGGAGUCUCCCGUCUGUCCUGAGCUGCCGGAGUCUCCCGUCUGUCCUGAGCUGCCGGAGUCUCCCGUCUGUCCUGAGCUGCCGGAGUCUCCCGUCUGUCCUGAGCUGCCGGGGUCUCCCGUCUGU
Long non-coding RNA from Oncorhynchus keta (chum salmon), 1838 nucleotides. RefSeq lists it as uncharacterized. NCBI's taxonomy places the organism in Eukaryota, Metazoa, Chordata, Actinopteri, Salmoniformes, Salmonidae. The transcript has 5 exons. The record is from RefSeq and is a predicted model, not a curated record.